RNAcentral lists this ribosomal RNA (235 nucleotides) under uncultured bacterium. RNAcentral's name for it is "partial 16S ribosomal RNA". It matches the Rfam family "Bacterial small subunit ribosomal RNA", at positions 120 to 354 of the family's 1533-position model. The record is from RNAcentral.
AGCAAUCUGCCUUGGAGUGGGGAAUAACGGCUGGAAACAGCCGCUAAUACCGCAUGAUACAGCUGGGAGGUAUCUCCCUGGCUGUCAAAGAUUUAUCGCUCUGAGAUGAGCUCGCGUCUGAUUAGCUAGUUGGCGGGGUAACGGCCCACCAAGGCGACGAUCAGUAGCCGGACUGAGAGGUUGGCCGGCCACAUUGGGACUGAGACACGGCCCAGACUCCUACGGAAGGCAGCAG